CCCAGGCACAGACUCUGUGACAAGUAUGGAGACAUUGAAGGCAGCUGUGGCAUGUGGAAAGAACACUGGACGGAUCCGGAACUUGUGCCAUUCUAGUCUGCCAUGAUCAUUUUCAACGUGAGCAAUUACAACCCAGCAACCUUCAUUCUGGUGGGGAUGCCAGGCCUGGAGCAAGCCCACGUGUGGAUUGGGAUUCCCUUCUGUACCAUCUAUAUUGUGGCCAUUGUGGGAAACUAGAAUAUGAUCAGGAGGACGGAGGUGAAAACAGAGAGCCAACUUACUCUGAAUGGAAAAAGUAAUGAAAAUUUGGAAAUUGAGAUUUGCAGCUGUGGAGAGAGAAAAAUGUAAGAGAGACUAAAAGUGAAAAUAUCAAUGAGAACUUUCUCAUUUAGGGGGAUUAGCAGAUGGAUUUAGGACAUUUAUGAUAACAUUCAAUUCUAAUUAUUGUCCAUGUUAUACUUUUGUAAUUCCCUUAAAUAUCCCAUCCCUGCCCCACCCACAGGAAAACCUUUUAGUACAAGUCUACUGUAAGCAAUGCGUUCUGUCAGCAGUGCUCUAAUGGGAAUGAGAGAAGUAGCAUAUUUAUCAGUACCAGAGGUGGUGGCACCAGUGCUGACAGAGGAGGGUAGCCUCUAGGCUCCAUGACACAUUGAAGAAGUAAGCUUCAGUAAUAGUGCCCAGGAGAACAUGGCCCUGGAAAAUAGAUGGAGAUCUGAGACAAGGGCUGGGCUUUCCACAAUGCAUAGAUGAGACCUCAAGGCAGUUCAUUUGGACACUAAAGUAAAAAUUCAACCUCAUUGGCCAGAGGAUUUGUGGAGUUCUUAUCUACAGAGUGUAUUUUCUUGAUUUCAAGAGAGAAGCAAUUACAAGACACAUUUCUGCAGUGAGGAGGGAGGUUGAGGAGGGGAAAAUUAAACUAAAGUAAUACAUCCAAGGCAAGAUGCAUCCAAAUUCUAUAAGCAUUAGAAUUAAGAAAAUACCAUAUGUUGUGAG
RNAcentral lists this long non-coding RNA (993 nucleotides) under Equus caballus (horse). RNAcentral describes it as "lncRNA (ENSECAG00000054156.1)". The record is from RNAcentral. Lineage: Eukaryota; Metazoa; Chordata; Mammalia; Perissodactyla; Equidae.